This 270-nucleotide unclassified non-coding RNA is filed under the name Hevea brasiliensis (rubber tree). Lineage: Eukaryota; Viridiplantae; Streptophyta; Magnoliopsida; Malpighiales; Euphorbiaceae. The record is from RNAcentral.
GAGCUUGCUUAAUCAUCUGAUUCUCUCUCCUACGAAUAUCUUCAAAGAAAGAGACGGAAUUCUGCAUGAUCUCCUGACCUGUCACUCCCUUCUGCUCUUUUGUAUCCCCAUUUGCAUUAAGCUGACCUAAGCCCAUACAUAAAGAUGAUGCUUUGGCAUCUAAGCCAGUUAAACUCUUGUGGUUUGAAUUCUUGAGAGAUUCUGCUUCACUGGAUUCAUUUUCUUCCAAGGAGAUACUAGAAGGCAAACUGGACUUCAAAUGUUUGAUAU